ACGUGUGUGUGUAGGUAUCUAUGUGUAUAUAAACACACCACACACACACACACACACACACACACACACACACACACACACACA
This 84-nucleotide microRNA precursor is filed under the name Tursiops truncatus (common bottlenose dolphin). RNAcentral's name for it is "miRNA (ENSTTRG00000023015.1)". The record is from RNAcentral. Lineage: Eukaryota; Metazoa; Chordata; Mammalia; Artiodactyla; Delphinidae.